AUGCAGAUUGUUUGUCUUGUUGCCUUACGCUUUGGUGUUGCUGCGGUUAGUGGCAAUGAGAAGUUUUUGUGGGAGAGGGCUUGGGAACUUAUUAGUAUUGGUUGGCUCACUCUUUCUUGUAUUGGACUUAUUUGGUAUUUUCUACUUCUUAUGUUGGUUUCUUUUACUAUGUGGGCAUUCUAAUUAAUGAUAAUUUUUAAUAA
This 203-nucleotide long non-coding RNA is filed under the name Lathyrus oleraceus (garden pea). RNAcentral describes it as "Pisum sativum (pea) long non-coding RNA (PSAT_LNC009354)". The record is from RNAcentral. Lineage: Eukaryota; Viridiplantae; Streptophyta; Magnoliopsida; Fabales; Fabaceae.